RNAcentral lists this transfer RNA (73 nucleotides) under Micromonospora sp. CP22. Its description in RNAcentral is "tRNA-Ser". It matches the Rfam family "tRNA". Rfam says of the family: Transfer RNA (tRNA) molecules are approximately 80 nucleotides in length. Their secondary structure includes four short double-helical elements and three loops (D, anti-codon, and T loops). Lineage: Bacteria; Bacillati; Actinomycetota; Actinomycetes; Micromonosporales; Micromonosporaceae. RNAcentral also lists the same sequence under 1 other name. The record is from RNAcentral.
UGGUCGGUAGCGCAGAGGUCGACGCGCCGCACUGCUCGUGCGGAGGACGCCGGUUCGAAUCCGGUCCGACCAC